GCGGCGGUAGCGCAACUGGCAGAGCACCUGGUUGUGAUCCAGGAGGUCGCGGGUUCGAUCCCCGUCCGUCGCCCCA
This 76-nucleotide transfer RNA is filed under the name Mycobacteroides chelonae. RNAcentral's name for it is "tRNA-His". It matches the Rfam family "tRNA". From Rfam's summary of the family: Transfer RNA (tRNA) molecules are approximately 80 nucleotides in length. Their secondary structure includes four short double-helical elements and three loops (D, anti-codon, and T loops). Lineage: Bacteria; Bacillati; Actinomycetota; Actinomycetes; Mycobacteriales; Mycobacteriaceae. The record is from RNAcentral.